Molecule: ribosomal RNA, 301 nt
Filed under: uncultured bacterium
Lineage: Bacteria
Description: partial 16S ribosomal RNA
Rfam family: Bacterial small subunit ribosomal RNA
Source: RNAcentral
CAGUCGCCGCGGUAAAACGUAGGGUGCAAGCGUUAAUCGGAAUUACUGGGCGUAAAGCGUGCGCAGGCGGUGUUGUAAGACUGAUGUGAAAUCCCCGGGCUCAACCUGGGAACUGCAUUGGUGACUGCAACGCUGGAGUGCGGCAGAGGGGGAUGGAAUUCCGGUGUAGCGGUGAAAUGCGUAGAUAUGCGGAGGAACACCGAUGGCGAAGGCAAUCCCCUAGGCCUGUACUGACGCUCAUGCACGAAAGCGUGGGGAGCAAACAGGAUUAGAGACCCCAGUAGUCCCUGUCUCUUAUACC